UGGCACUGUGUGUCUCUCCAUCCUGCUCGUAGUAGUGGUCUUCUGGUUCCUUGUUGAGAACUCUGUGCUUGACAAAUAUGUUCGCUACAUCCUGACCAUCUACCCUGUGGUUAUUGUGGCUCUGACCGGAAACAUGACCAAGAACUACGACUCCGCAGCUCCCAGUCGCAAUGGGAUUUUUAUUGCCGUGCUGCUGGGUCUGGCGUGCCUGCUGUUUGUCCUGAGGGUCGUGUUAGUGUUGUGGAGGCACUUCAACAGGCCUUUCUACUCAGGCAUUGAUUCUGAAGAGGUCGUAUCACUGAGAGAGAUCGCUGAGAGGCAGAAAAAGAUAUUUAUCUAAGAAAAACACUUGCAUUCCAUGCCGUCGUAAGACUGAAAUGUGUCUGGGUAGCGACUAUUCAUGAGCAAGAUUUAUUUUUACACUCAG
Molecule: long non-coding RNA, 427 nt
Organism: Clupea harengus (Atlantic herring)
Lineage: Eukaryota; Metazoa; Chordata; Actinopteri; Clupeiformes; Clupeidae
Source: Ensembl